This 251-nucleotide long non-coding RNA is filed under the name Mytilus galloprovincialis (Mediterranean mussel). The record is from RNAcentral. Lineage: Eukaryota; Metazoa; Mollusca; Bivalvia; Mytilida; Mytilidae.
AGGGCAUUUAUUAUUUGGGUUUCUUAUUCGACUUUUCAAAAUGCUUAAAGACGUAGAAUUUCUCGUUUCGUCUGGUAACUUAUUCCACAAUUUAAUGGACGAAGGAAGGAAAUAAUCGGAGUAUAUAUUAGUUCUUGUACGAAUUUUCGAAGUAUUUUGAGUCUGACGAGUGAAAUGGUUAUGUAAAUUAACUAUUUGAUUUGGUACCAAGUUUUGUAAAUAAUCUGGAGUUUCCUUAUUCACCAUUUUAU